GAACCCUGACCGAGUAACGCCGCGUGAGUGAAGAAGGUUUUCGGAUCGUAAAGCUCUGUUGUUAAGGAAGAACGAGUGUGAGAAUGGAAAGUUCAUACUGUGACGGUACUUAACCAGAAAGGGACGGCUAACUACGUGCCAGCAGCCGCGGUAAUACGUAGGUCCCGAGCGUUGUCCGGAUUUAUUGGGCGUAAAGCGAGCGCAGGCGGUUAGAUAAGUCUGAAGUUAAAGGCAGUGGCUCAACCAUUGUAGGCUUUGGAAACUGUUUAACUUGAGUGCAGAAGGGGAGAGUGGAAUUCCAUGUGUAGCGGUGAAAUGCGUAGAUAUAUGGAGGAACACCGGUGGCGAAAGCGGCUCUCUGGUCUGUAACUGACGCUGAGGCUCGAAAGCGUGGGGAGCGAACAGGAUUAGAUACCCUGGUAGUCCACGCCGUAAACGAUGAGUGCUAGGUGUUAGGUCCUUUCCGGGACUUAGUGCCGCAGCUAACGCAUUAAGCACUCCGCCUGGGGAGUACGACCGCAAGGUUGAAACUCAAAGGAA
RNAcentral lists this ribosomal RNA (540 nucleotides) under Streptococcus intermedius. Its description in RNAcentral is "bacterial SSU rRNA". It matches the Rfam family "Bacterial small subunit ribosomal RNA", at positions 378 to 909 of the family's 1533-position model. The record is from RNAcentral. Lineage: Bacteria; Bacillati; Bacillota; Bacilli; Lactobacillales; Streptococcaceae.